Molecule: transfer RNA, 92 nt
Filed under: Oceanobacillus iheyensis
Lineage: Bacteria; Bacillati; Bacillota; Bacilli; Caryophanales; Bacillaceae
Also listed under: 10 other names
Description: tRNA-Ser
Rfam family: tRNA
About the family: Transfer RNA (tRNA) molecules are approximately 80 nucleotides in length. Their secondary structure includes four short double-helical elements and three loops (D, anti-codon, and T loops). Further hydrogen bonds mediate the characteristic L-shaped molecular structure. tRNAs have two regions of fundamental functional importance: the anti-codon, which is responsible for specific mRNA codon recognition, and the 3' end, to which the tRNAs corresponding amino acid is attached (by aminoacyl-tRNA synthetases). tRNAs cope with the degeneracy of the genetic code in two manners: having more than one tRNA (with a specific anti-codon) for a particular amino acid; and 'wobble' base-pairing, i.e. permitting non-standard base-pairing at the 3rd anti-codon position.
Source: RNAcentral
GGAGAGCUGUCCGAGAGGCCGAAGGAGCACGAUUGGAAAUCGUGUAAGCCGCUACCGCGGCUUCGAGGGUUCGAAUCCCUCGCUCUCCGCCA